RNAcentral lists this ribosomal RNA (48 nucleotides) under Cornuvesica acuminata. RNAcentral describes it as "partial 26S ribosomal RNA". The record is from RNAcentral. Lineage: Eukaryota; Fungi; Ascomycota; Sordariomycetes; Ophiostomatales; Ophiostomataceae.
UAAAAUAGGCCUCAUCGUCGUAGGAAGACCCGCUGAACUUAAGCAUAU